AAUACCAUAAAUGCCCUUCCCACUGUUGGCACUUCCCUCUGAUUCUCCAGCUUGGGUAGAUCCACAGGCUUUCCCUCUUGGUCAGAGGCAGCACUCUGCCCUGUAGGCCUUGUCUCAGGAUGACUUACUCUGUGUCCAGGUUGCAGAGCGCCAGUUGCAGGCGUGGGAAGCAGACCAGCAGGAAGCAGAGGAAGAGGAGGCGGCAAAGCAGGCAGAGCAGCUCACCGAUGCCCUGUUAGAGCAGGAGGCAAAGAUGAUGGCCAAGCAGGGAUACCGGCCCAAGCCUUAUGGACAUCCCAAAAUUGCUUGGAACUGACUUCCUUGGUACUGGAAGCACAGAGAACAAGGGUGCUGAGGCCUUUGAUAUGCAACCGCCAAACAGUUUUACAAUGUUCUGCUCUAGUGUUAGGGUCACUGGAAAAUAGGUCAGUGAGCCUGUCAGGUCCAUGAUAAAAUGGAUCAAGGGUCUGGCCAAACUUUAAGGUGUUGUGAAUAUGCAACACCUAGUAGGAGGCCCUUCCAUGCCUUUCUUAUUCAAGAAAGGGGGUUUUAUAGUCACGCACUGAUAGUGCUGUCACAGUCUUGCACUAUAUUCAUAAAUAAUGUAAGAUUCUAAGUCUGUGCUAGGAGUUACAAGUUGUGUUCCAUGACAGGACUCAUGAUCUCCUGUUGUCUCACCCUUAAUUGUCAACCUCCAGUGAAGCCUCCAGCCAGAUAUGAGGGGAGGUUUUUCAUUUUUUAAGUUGCCAUUUAAAUUUAACUAUUCUAUUGCAGACAGACGUGUAAGAUUUAUUAAUUUAGUGGUCCCAAAAGGAUCACAUCUUGGUUUCUGAAGAAAAGAACUAUGAACCCUGAGACAGGCUGAUGUGGUCCUUGGGUGCUUUCUGGAAAGGUAGUGAGAAAUGAGUCUUCCCUCCUUUAGGAAGCACUUGGUAGAAUUUCCAAAGAGCACUGGGGAGGGGGGGAGUGUGAUCCCAACAUCUAUGUUACUGAGCCUCAAAAGGGGACUUCAGAAGGUCGCUUGGAUAGCUAACCUUUUGGUAUGACACUUUGGAUCUCUGGUGUCUCAGGAAGGUCUAAGCUACAUACAGCCUUCUAGGACUUAUGUACCCAGAGGAGGGACACUGACCCUGAAGAAACUAGAUCAGACUGAACCACAAAUUAGCCAAACGUUUCUCUUCCCACUGUUAUAUCAAUGUGACAUAGCUCUAGAUUAAUCUCUACAAGAAGUUCCUUGGCAGCAAUAUUUUUAUGACUUUUUUUUCAUAUUCUUUCUGUAAAGUUUUUGUUACAUUGUGUUCAAGAAUCCGUAUCUCAGUAAAUUACAGCUAAAUACUGUUCCAGGUUAUUAAAAACCAGAGUUUAUUUAAAAAUCCUGAGCCUAAGGGCUGUGUUGCCUUUCACUUCCAUUGUGUUAUUAAAACAAAUUAACCUGCAAACUAUAUCCUUAAUCUGUUUUUCAUUUUCUUAUCUUGAAUUUCUUUGGAUAUGAUCCACUGAGCUCCAUUUUCAUUGUGCAUGCUCAUAUUUAUUCCUGUUUCAGAUGUUCAUUACUUGUGAAAUAAAGUUCUGGUUUGACUGCAUCACUU
Miniopterus natalensis is the source of this 1589-nucleotide non-coding RNA. The record is from RefSeq and is a predicted model, not a curated record. Lineage: Eukaryota; Metazoa; Chordata; Mammalia; Chiroptera; Miniopteridae.